AUUGAACGCUGGCGGCAUGCUUUACACAUGCAAGUCGGACGGCAGCACAGAGAAGCUUGCUUCUUGGGUGGCGAGUGGCGAACGGGUGAGUAAUAUAUCGGAACGUACCGAGUAAUGGGGGAUAACUAAUCGAAAGAUUAGCUAAUACCGCAUAUUCUCUGAGGAGGAAAGCAGGGGACCUUCGGGCCUUGCGUUAUUCGAGCGGCCGAUAUCUGAUUAGCUAGUUGGUGGGGUAAAGGCCUACCAAGGCGACGAUCAGUAGCGGGUCUGAGAGGAUGAUCCGCCACACUGGGACUGAGACACGGCCCAGACUCCUACGGGAGGCAGCAGUGGGGAAUUUUGUACAAUGGGCGCAAGCCUGAUCCAGCCAUGCCGCGUGUCUGAAGAAGGCCUUCGGGUUGUAAAGGACUUUUGUCAGGGAAGAAAAGGCUGUUGCUAAUAUCGACAGCUGAUGACGGUACCUGAAGAAUAAGCACCGGCUAACUACGUG
This 490-nucleotide ribosomal RNA is filed under the name uncultured bacterium. RNAcentral's name for it is "partial 16S ribosomal RNA". It matches the Rfam family "Bacterial small subunit ribosomal RNA", at positions 30 to 507 of the family's 1533-position model. The record is from RNAcentral.